Molecule: long non-coding RNA, 1151 nt
Organism: Astatotilapia calliptera (eastern happy)
Lineage: Eukaryota; Metazoa; Chordata; Actinopteri; Cichliformes; Cichlidae
Source: Ensembl
AUCCAGGCGGCCUGUUCCAGAUUACACGAGGGGUCGAGCUGGUUCACAGUUUACAAGCAUGUCUGAGCGAUAUUAAGGUCCCAGAUGUUGCAGGGUCUUACUAACAUCCACUAAAAAUUUUAAAUCAAUUCUAAAUUUAACGCAAAGCCAAAGUAAUGACCUCAGAACAGGUGUCAUAUGGUUAUAUUUUCUUCUUCUUUUUAAACUGCGGAAUCUCUGAAGUCAAUUAAGAUGCUCUUUUGAUAUUCUUUCGAAUAUCACGGCCAUAUUGUGACCAUAAUCAGUCCGUGUGGUCUGAAUAUGGUCACUAUAGACAACCUUAAACUUCCGCAGAUUAAAUAAAUAAAGGCAAAUGUCUACACCUUCACAUGUCUGGAUGGGAAAUCUUUCUGCUGACUGAUCUGGGUGUCUGCGUUAAGCGCUUUGAGUCAUUUUCUGAAGUCAGCAUUUAUACACAACUUUCUAAAUACACAGGAAAUCAAAGAAAGGAGAAGAGAAAGAGAGUGUGUGUGAGAAAAGAAGGCAUGAGAAAAAUGGAGAGGAUGGACUUCCUGUUACUUUAAAUUUAACUCACGACCUUUCUUGUGUAAGUCCCCCUCUCUUCCAAUUACAAGGUAAAAAAAAAAAGAAAAAAGAAAAACAGCAUGCAAAUCUUUCCAAAUAAGAAUAUCAUCACUUCAAAUCCAGGCAACCCUCCACAUAUGAAGCAGAAUAUUCCCUGAGUGCCUAUUUGCUUAGAGAGCGCAUGAAUAAAGUAUAGGAAGUAAAGUGUUUUGAUGAAGAGUGGGGGUAGGUUUGUUGUUUCUCAGUACUCUUAGUGAGGCUAAUACAGUCCCAAAAGACUGAGCGUUAGGUUCACGCAGAGGCCUUCCAAAUAAAUAUUUAAGGCACAAUGCCCUAUUUAGUUUGAACUAAAGGCAACAGUUAUAUGAGCACUUGUGGAGCAUCAGAGUACACCAUUUAAAAUCAAAUCGAGCCCGAAUCCAAGGACGUGGCUUGUAGUUGAUAAUUAAACAACUCACAAAAACUUCCUUUAAUAGACUAGACUUGUUUUAGGACCAAAGUUAGAAGAGAUUCAUCUUUGCAAAAGACUAAAACACCAGAGGCAUCAGUACCACUCGCCUCUGUCCAGAAAAUAAAGCAUUUUCCAG